UCCUAUUCAAAUAUAGAUCAUUAUAAGCACUUGCCGAGCAGUUAAUAUCUUCACUGGUCUCUGCUCCGAGAGAGUUAAAGCUGCUCGAUCUCGAGCCCCCGCUCUCUCGGCUGCUUUCGGAAAGUCUUUGGACCUGACUCCUUAAAGCGCUUUGGCACCUGUUCGCUGCAAGGGGGUUUUAGGCACGUGCCGAAACGGCUCCCCGUAGCCCUCGCGUGGGCGGCCGCGGCCCACCAGCGCGGGAGUCGCUCCCCUCGCUCGCUGCUGGAUCUCAAUCCCCUACCAGAUGCCUUCAGCUUUUUCUCUAUCUCUUUUUACUUGUUUUUUUUUUUUAUUUUUUUCACUUUUUUUCCCCCCCUCCAGAAUCGCUUCCCCCUAGUGCAGCGCACAGCUAAGUGACGUGGGCCGAGCACGUGGCUAACGAACGGCGCUUAAUAUUUACAUACAAAAAUAGAUGGGUUUGAGCGCCUCMAACCCUGUCCUCUGCGAGCGGCAUCUUCGCCCGGUGGAGACAAAACUGCCCCAACCCCUUCACCCAUAAAUAUUGCGGCGGCCGGGCAAGACCCGGCUUUCCCCGAGCUUCCCGCUCUGCUUCGUCCCCGCUGCGGGUCUGAUCUCCGUCGCCUUCAUCCACCUGCGGCACCUGAAGGAAGAGACUUACUGCCAUGGGAGACCUUAAAAAAGAAAGAAAACGGCCCGAGGGCGGAGGGACAAAGUUCGUUCCCAGCUUCGCCGCCCAACCGCACGUUUCUUUGCGGGUCUCUGCGGUUUUGGUUGCUUCGGAAGGAAAGCUUGAGGACGCCAACUGAGCCGAUGAACCUCACGGGAAGGAACCACCGUGGGCUGGACUGAUGGAAAAACCCAAAACGUCCUCAAGCUACCUGGUUCCCGCUCGCCCGUACCCGAUUCUUCCAUCUUUUCCACCGCUUGCGAGGGAAAAUGCGACCACGGAAGUCCCUACCAGGCCGGGACGUUGCAGGACACGUAGCCCCCGGUGUCCAGGGAGGGAGGACGUGCACCAGGUCGUCUUUCAUGAGCGUGUCCAGAGGAACGAUCCAGCUGUCGCCCAGCUCCCCGUUGAGGUUCACCUUCUUCUCCUGCAUCUCCGAGGAGGUCUCCAUCACCUCCAGCGUGGGGUUGUCGUGGUAGCCGUUCUCCAUGGUCUGCAGCUCCUCGGUCAGGCGCUGCUGCGAGGAGAGAAGCCCAGGCGCCGCGGUGAGAGGCGGCACGGCCCGGGGGCGCCCGUCCGGCUCGGGACCCCCCGCAGCCGCCGGCGUCUCCCAGCCAGCAYGCGGAUGCUAAGCUAAAAUCACGCUGCUUCAGGGCUGGAGCAACGCUAUUAGCUCUGGGUGUCUCUUUCCUUCAACUGAUGCUCCUGCCAGCCUGGACCCCACGGUUGGAAGAUGCAGGCGUCCUCCACGCCGUCGGGGCAUGAGUCUGGACAGGAGAACCCAGCUCGCCCCGGGAUUUCCUCCCUUCCGCUUCCUCCCUCUCCCGAUAUUGCUUUGAGUUUUGCAGGCAGGGUGAGCUUGCGGAGCCCACCAGCGCUUGAUUGCUUUCCAAAAAGCACUUUGAGAUGAUUCCUUUUUUUUUGGGGGGGGGCCUUUCCACUGGGAGGAGAAUGGAUUGGUUUGGGGGUCUUUGAGUUGAGAAAAACCCUCAAAAAAAAGCCAAAAACAUCUGGCAGAAGCUCUGCAGUUUGGAACAGUUCUGCCAGUCAUCUCUCAUCUGGGGAAGAAGCCUUUCUCAUCAGAAUUAUGCCUUGACUGGAGGACGCUAGUCAGCACUGGGUGGCCUGGUGACCUGGGUGGGACGGAUGCUGCUCGUCUCUGCGCCCUGACACCACCAGCCCUUCGUUGCCCUGUUCUUUGCCCUUGCUGCUCCCCCCGGGAGCCCCAUCAGCAGCUACUGCCCCUCCGAAGCACCAGCAGCUCCGGGGACUCGGCUCAUCCUGCUGCAAUAUCACCCUGCA
Long non-coding RNA from Apteryx rowi (Okarito brown kiwi), 1972 nucleotides. NCBI's taxonomy places the organism in Eukaryota, Metazoa, Chordata, Aves, Apterygiformes, Apterygidae. The record is from Ensembl.